UACGAAGGGGGCUAGCGUUGCUCGGAAUCACUGGGCGUAAAGCGCACGUAGGCGGAUUCUUAAGUCGGUGGUGAAAUCCUGGAGCUCAACUCCAGAACUGCCUUCGAUGCUGAGAGUCUUGAGUUCGGGAGAGGUGAGUGGAACUGCGAGUGUAGAGGUGAAAUUCGUAGAUAUUCGCAAGAACACCAGUGGCGAAGGCGGCUCACUGGCCCGAUACUGACGCUGAGGUGCGAAAGCGUGGGGAGCAAACAGG
Molecule: ribosomal RNA, 253 nt
Filed under: uncultured bacterium
Lineage: Bacteria
Description: partial 16S ribosomal RNA
Rfam family: Bacterial small subunit ribosomal RNA
Source: RNAcentral